Molecule: transfer RNA, 72 nt
Filed under: Camelus bactrianus (Bactrian camel)
Lineage: Eukaryota; Metazoa; Chordata; Mammalia; Artiodactyla; Camelidae
Also listed under: 2 other names
Rfam family: tRNA
About the family: Transfer RNA (tRNA) molecules are approximately 80 nucleotides in length.
Source: Rfam by way of RNAcentral
GAGGGUAUAGCUCAGUGGUAGAGCGCUUGCUUUGCGUGCACAAGGUCUUGGGUUCAAUCCCCAGUACUUCCA